Molecule: ribosomal RNA, 488 nt
Filed under: uncultured bacterium
Lineage: Bacteria
Description: bacterial SSU rRNA
Rfam family: Bacterial small subunit ribosomal RNA
Source: RNAcentral
CAGUGGGGAAUAUUGCGCAAUGGGCGAAAGCCUGACGCAGCAACGCCGCGUGAGGGACGAAGGCCUUCGGGUUGUAAACCUCUUUCAGCAGGGAAGAAGCGAAAGUGACGGUACCUGCAGAAGAAGCACCGGCUAACUACGUGCCAGCAGCCGCGGUAAUACGUAGGGUGCAAGCGUUGUCCGGAAUUAUUGGGCGUAAAGAGCUCGUAGGUGGUUUGUCGCGUCUGCUGUGAAAAUUCGGGGCUCAACCCCGGACUUGCAGUGGGUACGGGCAGACUAGAGUGUGGUAGAGGAGACUGGAAUUCCUGGUGUAGCGGUGGAAUGCGCAGAUAUCAGGAGGAACACCAGUGGCGAAGGCGGGUCUCUGGGCCACAACUGACACUGAGGAGCGAAAGCGUGGGGAGCGAACAGGAUUAGAUACCCUGGUAGUCCACGCCGUAAACGUUGGGCGCUAGGUGUGGGGCUCUUUCCACGAGUUCCGCGCCGCA